GAACUGCUCCAGGAGGACCAGAAUGUAAAGCGUAAGAGAGAGCGUUAUCAGAAGCAGUCUUCUCUUCUUUCAAAACUAGUACGGCAACUAAGCAUCCAUGACAAUCGAGCAGCAGCUGCAUCCAGCUGGUCCAAUGAUGGUGGUGCUGAAAGUAGUCCAAGAACAAGCGGACGUGCAGGAGGGGAGGACUGGAGGACUGCAUUUGAUGCUGCAGCUAAUGGCCGUGCUGACCCAUUGAGGUCUCACAGUAGACGGAACAGUGAUCCACCUCAAAAUGGUGAUGCAAGCUCAGGCACAAACAGCAGCCGCCGCACACCCACUCGGAUGCCACCAGCACCGCCACCAUCAGGCUCGUCCUAUAGAUAUUAGAUAAAAAGGUUUGAUACCCAAUUGAUAAUUCAUGCAUUCUUGUUGGAUGGGAGUAGCUUUUCAUCUCACUCCAGGUGGAGCAUUUCUCAACCUCACAUCCAUGCCAUAUUAGCUUUUGUAGAAGUGUUAUAGGUUUGUAGAUAUAUAGAGUUGCGCUUACAUGUGGUUGAUUUUGAUAUGUAUCAAUGUUCAUUAAAAUUUUUUCCCCAUUUUCCAUUUUGUUGUUGACAAGUCCAUCGCCC
This 611-nucleotide unclassified non-coding RNA is filed under the name Hevea brasiliensis (rubber tree). Lineage: Eukaryota; Viridiplantae; Streptophyta; Magnoliopsida; Malpighiales; Euphorbiaceae. The record is from RNAcentral.